AGCGAACGCUGGCGGCAGGCCUAACACAUGCAAGUCGAACGAAGUCUUCGGACUUAGUGGCGGACGGGUGAGUAACACGUGGGAACGUGUCUUUAGGUUCGGAAUAACUCAGGGACACUUGUGCUAAUACAGAAUGUGACCUUCGGGGGAAAGAUUUAUCGCCUUUAGAGCGGCCCGAGUCUGAUUAGCUAGUUGGUGAGGUAAAGGCUCACCAAGGCGACGGUCGGUAGCUGGUCUGAGAGGAUGAUCAGCCACAUUGGGACUGAGACACGGCCCAAACUCCUACGGUAGGCAGCAGUGGGGAAUCUUGCGCAAUGGGCGAAAGCCUGACGCAGCCAUGCCGCGUGAAUGAUGAAGGUCUUAGGAUUGUAAAAUUCUUUCACCGGGGACGAUAGUGACGGUACCCGGAGAAGAAGCCCCGGCUAACUUCGUGCCAGCCGCCGCCGUAA
This 449-nucleotide ribosomal RNA is filed under the name uncultured bacterium. RNAcentral's name for it is "partial 16S ribosomal RNA". It matches the Rfam family "Bacterial small subunit ribosomal RNA", at positions 29 to 523 of the family's 1533-position model. The record is from RNAcentral.